This 2215-nucleotide ribosomal RNA is filed under the name Escherichia coli. RNAcentral's name for it is "partial 23S ribosomal RNA". It matches the Rfam family "Bacterial large subunit ribosomal RNA", at positions 614 to 2814 of the family's 2925-position model. The record is from RNAcentral. Lineage: Bacteria; Pseudomonadati; Pseudomonadota; Gammaproteobacteria; Enterobacterales; Enterobacteriaceae.
AAUGGGUCAGCGACUUAUAUUCUGUAGCAAGGUUAACCGAAUAGGGGAGCCGAAGGGAAACCGAGUCUUAACUGGGCGUUAAGUUGCAGGGUAUAGACCCGAAACCCGGUGAUCUAGCCAUGGGCAGGUUGAAGGUUGGGUAACACUAACUGGAGGACCGAACCGACUAAUGUUGAAAAAUUAGCGGAUGACUUGUGGCUGGGGGUGAAAGGCCAAUCAAACCGGGAGAUAGCUGGUUCUCCCCGAAAGCUAUUUAGGUAGCGCCUCGUGAAUUCAUCUCCGGGGGUAGAGCACUGUUUCGGCAAGGGGGUCAUCCCGACUUACCAACCCGAUGCAAACUGCGAAUACCGGAGAAUGUUAUCACGGGAGACACACGGCGGGUGCUAACGUCCGUCGUGAAGAGGGAAACAACCCAGACCGCCAGCUAAGGUCCCAAAGUCAUGGUUAAGUGGGAAACGAUGUGGGAAGGCCCAGACAGCCAGGAUGUUGGCUUAGAAGCAGCCAUCAUUUAAAGAAAGCGUAAUAGCUCACUGGUCGAGUCGGCCUGCGCGGAAGAUGUAACGGGGCUAAACCAUGCACCGAAGCUGCGGCAGCGACGCUUAUGCGUUGUUGGGUAGGGGAGCGUUCUGUAAGCCUGUGAAGGUGUGCUGUGAGGCAUGCUGGAGGUAUCAGAAGUGCGAAUGCUGACAUAAGUAACGAUAAAGCGGGUGAAAAGCCCGCUCGCCGGAAGACCAAGGGUUCCUGUCCAACGUUAAUCGGGGCAGGGUGAGUCGACCCCUAAGGCGAGGCCGAAAGGCGUAGUCGAUGGGAAACAGGUUAAUAUUCCUGUACUUGGUGUUACUGCGAAGGGGGGACGGAGAAGGCUAUGUUGGCCGGGCGACGGUUGUCCCGGUUUAAGCGUGUAGGCUGGUUUUCCAGGCAAAUCCGGAAAAUCAAGGCUGAGGCGUGAUGACGAGGCACUACGGUGCUGAAGCAACAAAUGCCCUGCUUCCAGGAAAAGCCUCUAAGCAUCAGGUAACAUCAAAUCGUACCCCAAACCGACACAGGUGGUCAGGUAGAGAAUACCAAGGCGCUUGAGAGAACUCGGGUGAAGGAACUAGGCAAAAUGGUGCCGUAACUUCGGGAGAAGGCACGCUGAUAUGUAGGUGAAGUCCCUUGCGGAUGGAGCUGAAAUCAGUCGAAGAUACCAGCUGGCUGCAACUGUUUAUUAAAAACACAGCACUGUGCAAACACGAAAGUGGACGUAUACGGUGUGACGCCUGCCCGGUGCCGGAAGGUUAAUUGAUGGGGUCAGCGCAAGCGAAGCUCUUGAUCGAAGCCCCGGUAAACGGCGGCCGUAACUAUAACGGUCCUAAGGUAGCGAAAUUCCUUGUCGGGUAAGUUCCGACCUGCACGAAUGGCGUAAUGAUGGCCAGGCUGUCUCCACCCGAGACUCAGUGAAAUUGAACUCGCUGUGAAGAUGCAGUGUACCCGCGGCAAGACGGAAAGACCCCGUGAACCUUUACUAUAGCUUGACACUGAACAUUGAGCCUUGAUGUGUAGGAUAGGUGGGAGGCUUUGAAGUGUGGACGCCAGUCUGCAUGGAGCCGACCUUGAAAUACCACCCUUUAAUGUUUGAUGUUCUAACGUGGACCCGUGAUCCGGGUUGCGGACAGUGUCUGGUGGGUAGUUUGACUGGGGCGGUCUCCUCCUAAAGAGUAACGGAGGAGCACGAAGGUUGGCUAAUCCUGGUCGGACAUCAGGAGGUUAGUGCAAUGGCAUAAGCCAGCUUGACUGCGAGCGUGACGGCGCGAGCAGGUGCGAAAGCAGGUCAUAGUGAUCCGGUGGUUCUGAAUGGAAGGGCCAUCGCUCAACGGAUAAAAGGUACUCCGGGGAUAACAGGCUGAUACCGCCCAAGAGUUCAUAUCGACGGCGGUGUUUGGCACCUCGAUGUCGGCUCAUCACAUCCUGGGGCUGAAGUAGGUCCCAAGGGUAUGGCUGUUCGCCAUUUAAAGUGGUACGCGAGCUGGGUUUAGAACGUCGUGAGACAGUUCGGUCCCUAUCUGCCGUGGGCGCUGGAGAACUGAGGGGGGCUGCUCCUAGUACGAGAGGACCGGAGUGGACGCAUCACUGGUGUUCGGGUUGUCAUGCCAAUGGCACUGCCCGGUAGCUAAAUGCGGAAGAGAUAAGUGCUGAAAGCAUCUAAGCACGAAACUUGCCCCGAGAUGAGUUCUCC